AACGAACGCUGGCGGCAUGCCUAACACAUGCAAGUCGAACGGGCCCUUCGGGGUUAGCGGCACACGGGUGCGUAACACGUGGGAACCUACCCUUUGGUUCGGAAUAACGCUCGGAAAGGAGCGCUAAUACCGGAUACGCCCUUUUGGGGAACGGCUUAUCGCCGCAGGAUCGGCCCGCGUCUGAUUAGCUAGUUGGUGGGGUAAUGGCCUACCAAGGCGACGAUCAGUAGCUGGUCUGAGAGGAUGAUCAGCCACACUGGGACUGAGACACGGCCCAGACUCCUACGGGAGGCAGCAGUGGGGAAUAUUGGACAAUGGGCGCAAGCCUGAUCCAGCCAUGCCGCGUGAGUGAUGAAGGCCUUAGGGUUGUAAAGCUCUUUUGUCCGGGACGAUAAUGACGGUACCGGAAGAAUAAGCCCCGGCUAACUUCGUG
RNAcentral lists this ribosomal RNA (433 nucleotides) under uncultured bacterium. Its description in RNAcentral is "partial 16S ribosomal RNA". It matches the Rfam family "Bacterial small subunit ribosomal RNA", at positions 29 to 507 of the family's 1533-position model. The record is from RNAcentral.